RNAcentral lists this ribosomal RNA (327 nucleotides) under uncultured eukaryote. Its description in RNAcentral is "partial 18S ribosomal RNA". It matches the Rfam family "Eukaryotic small subunit ribosomal RNA", at positions 1470 to 1796 of the family's 1831-position model. The record is from RNAcentral.
CCCUUAGAUGUUCUGGGCCGCACGCGCGCUACACUGACGAUGGCAACGAGUUUUUCCUUCGCCGAAAGGUGUGGGUAAUCUUUUGAAACAUCGUCGUGCUGGGGAUAGAUCAUUGCAAUUUUUGAUCUUGAACGAGGAAUUCCUAGUAAGCAUAAGUCAUCAGCUUGUGCUGAUUACGUCCCUGCCCUUUGUACACACCGCCCGUCGCCGCUACCGAUUGAAUGUGUUGGUGAGGAGCUCGGAUUGGCAGCAGUUGGUGGUUCGCCACCGGCUAUUGCUGAGAAGUCCUCCAAACCGCCCCAUUUAGAGGAAGGAGAAGUCGUAACA